Molecule: ribosomal RNA, 765 nt
Filed under: Staphylococcus aureus
Lineage: Bacteria; Bacillati; Bacillota; Bacilli; Caryophanales; Staphylococcaceae
Description: bacterial SSU rRNA
Rfam family: Bacterial small subunit ribosomal RNA
Source: RNAcentral
UUUAUGGAGAGUUUGAUCCUGGCUCAGGAUGAACGCUGGCGGCGUGCCUAAUACAUGCAAGUCGAGCGAACGGACGAGAAGCUUGCUUCUCUGAUGUUAGCGGCGGACGGGUGAGUAACACGUGGAUAACCUACCUAUAAGACUGGGAUAACUUCGGGAAACCGGAGCUAAUACCGGAUAAUAUUUUGAACCGCAUGGUUCAAAAGUGAAAGACGGUCUUGCUGUCACUUAUAGAUGGAUCCGCGCUGCAUUAGCUAGUUGGUAAGGUAACGGCUUACCAAGGCAACGAUGCAUAGCCGACCUGAGAGGGUGAUCGGCCACACUGGAACUGAGACACGGUCCAGACUCCUACGGGAGGCAGCAGUAGGGAAUCUUCCGCAAUGGGCGAAAGCCUGACGGAGCAACGCCGCGUGAGUGAUGAAGGUCUUCGGAUCGUAAAACUCUGUUAUUAGGGAAGAACAUAUGUGUAAGUAACUGUGCACAUCUUGACGGUACCUAAUCAGAAAGCCACGGCUAACUACGUGCCAGCAGCCGCGGUAAUACGUAGGUGGCAAGCGUUAUCCGGAAUUAUUGGGCGUAAAGCGCGCGUAGGCGGUUUUUUAAGUCUGAUGUGAAAGCCCACGGCUCAACCGUGGAGGGUCAUUGGAAACUGGAAAACUUGAGUGCAGAAGAGGAAAGUGGAAUUCCAUGUGUAGCGGUGAAAUGCGCAGAGAUAUGGAGGAACACCAGUGGCGAAGGCGACUUUCUGGUCUGUAACUGACGCUG